This 440-nucleotide ribosomal RNA is filed under the name uncultured bacterium. RNAcentral describes it as "partial 16S ribosomal RNA". It matches the Rfam family "Bacterial small subunit ribosomal RNA", at positions 338 to 795 of the family's 1533-position model. The record is from RNAcentral.
CCUACGGGUGGCAGCAGUAGGGAAUAUUGCUCAAUGGGGGAAACCCUGAAGCAGCAACGCCGCGUGGAGGAUGACGGUUUUCGGAUUGUAAACUCCUUUUGUUAGAGACGAUAAUGACGGUAUCUAACGAGUAAGCACCGGCCAACUCCGUGCCAGCAGCCGCGGUAAUACGGAGGGUGCACGCGUUACUCGGAAUCACUGGGCGUAAAGAGCGCGUAGGCGGGAUAGCAAGUCAGAUGUGAAAGCCUAUGGCUUAACCAUGGAACUGCAUUUGAAACUGUAAUUCUAGAGUAUGGGAGAGGUAGGUGGAAUUCUAGGUGUAGGGGUAAAAUGCGUAGAGAUCAAGAAGAAUACUGAUUGCGAAGGCGGCCUGCUGGGACACAACUGACGCUGAUGCGCGAAAGCGUGGGGAGCAAACAGGAUUAGAUACCCGGGUAGUC